ACGGGGAGCGACCACAACAGGUGGAGCCUGCGGUUUAAUCGGACUCAACGCCGGGAAACUCACCAGAUAAGACAGCUGAAUGAUAGUCGGGCUGAAGACUCUACUUGACUAGCUGAGAGGAGGUGCAUGGCCGUCGUCAGUUCGUACUGUGAAGCAUCCUGUUAAGUCAGGCAACGAGCGAGACCCACGCCAACAGUUGCCAGCUCGUCCUCCGGGAUGGUGGGGACACUGUUGGGACCGCCGUCUGCGUAAAGAGGAGGAAGGAAUGGGCAACGGUAGGUCAGCAUGCCCCGAAUUAUCUGGGCUACACGCGGGCUACAAUGGGUGGGACAAUGGGUAUCGACACCGAAAGGUGAAGGCAAUCCCCUAAACCCAUCCGUAGUUCGGAUUGUGGGCUGCAACUCGCCCACAUGAAGCUGGAAUCUGUAGUAAUCGUGUCUCAAAAUGGCACGGUGAAUAUGUCCCUGCUCCUU
Molecule: ribosomal RNA, 473 nt
Filed under: uncultured Methanomicrobiales archaeon
Lineage: Archaea; Methanobacteriati; Methanobacteriota; Methanomicrobia; Methanomicrobiales
Description: bacterial SSU rRNA
Rfam family: Archaeal small subunit ribosomal RNA
Source: RNAcentral